RNAcentral lists this ribosomal RNA (1351 nucleotides) under Microbacterium sp. RNAcentral describes it as "bacterial SSU rRNA". The record is from RNAcentral. Lineage: Bacteria; Bacillati; Actinomycetota; Actinomycetes; Micrococcales; Microbacteriaceae.
CUCUGUGGGAUAAGUGGCGAACGGGUGAGUAACACGUGAGCAACCUGCCCCUGACUCUGGGAUAAGCGCUGGAAACGGCGUCUAAUACUGGAUACGAGUAGCGGCCGCAUGGUCAGUUACUGGAAAGAAUUUCGGUUGGGGAUGGGCUCGCGGCCUAUCAGCUUGUUGGUGAGGUAAUGGCUCACCAAGGCGUCGACGGGUAGCCGGCCUGAGAGGGUGACCGGCCACACUGGGACUGAGACACGGCCCAGACUCCUACGGGAGGCAGCAGUGGGGRAUAUUGCACAAUGGGCGCAAGCCUGAUGCAGCAACGCCGCGUGAGGGAUGACGGCCUUCGGGUUGUAAACCUCUUUUAGCAGGGAAGAAGCGAAAGUGACGGUACCUGCAGAAAAAGCGCCGGCUAACUACGUGCCAGCAGCCGCGGUAAUACGUAGGGCGCAAGCGUUAUCCGGAAUUAUUGGGCGUAAAGAGCUCGUAGGCGGUUUGUCGCGUCUGCUGUGAAAUCCCGAGGCUCAACCUCGGGCCUGCAGUGGGUACGGGCAGACUAGAGUGCGGUAGGGGAGAUUGGAAUUCCUGGUGUAGCGGUGGAAUGCGCAGAUAUCAGGAGGAACACCGAUGGCGAAGGCAGAUCUCUGGGCCGUAACUGACGCUGAGGAGCGAAAGGGUGGGGAGCAAACAGGCUUAGAUACCCUGGUAGUCCACCCCGUAAACGUUGGGAACUAGUUGUGGGGUCCAUUCCACGGAUUCCGUGACGCAGCUAACGCAUUAAGUUCCCCGCCUGGGGAGUACGGCCGCAAGGCUAAAACUCAAAGGAAUUGACGGGGACCCGCACAAGCGGCGGAGCAUGCGGAUUAAUUCGAUGCAACGCGAAGAACCUUACCAAGGCUUGACAUAUACGAGAACGGGCCAGAAAUGGUCAACUCUUUGGACACUCGUAAACAGGUGGUGCAUGGUUGUCGUCAGCUCGUGUCGUGAGAUGUUGGGUUAAGUCCCGCAACGAGCGCAACCCUCGUUCUAUGUUGCCAGCACGUAAUGGUGGGAACUCAUGGGAUACUGCCGGGGUCAACUCGGAGGAAGGUGGGGAUGACGUCAAAUCAUCAUGCCCCUUAUGUCUUGGGCUUCACGCAUGCUACAAUGGCCGGUACAAAGGGCUGCAAUACCGCGAGGUGGAGCGAAUCCCAAAAAGCCGGUCCCAGUUCGGAUUGAGGUCUGCAACUCGACCUCAUGAAGUCGGAGUCGCUAGUACUCGCAGAUCCUCUAUAGUGCGGUGAAUAUCACGAUAAGUCGUAACAAGGUAACCCGGUAGAGUUGAUACUCGUUCACGUUAAGUCGUUCAAGGUAACCAGUAGCA